AUUGAACGCUGGCGGCAUGCCUUACACAUGCAAGUCGAACGGAUCCUUCGGGAUUAGUGGCGGACGGGUGAGUAACGCGUGGGAACAUACCCUUUGGUACGGAAUAGCCUCGGGAAACUGGGAGUAAUACCGUAUGUGGUCGAGAGACGAAAGAUUUAUCGCCAAAGGAUUGGCCCGCGUUGGAUUAGGUAGUUGGUGGGGUAAUGGCCUACCAAGCCGACGAUCCAUAGCUGGUUUGAGAGGAUGAUCAGCCACACUGGGACUGAGACACGGCCCAGACUCCUACGGGAGGCAGCAGUGGGGAAUCUUAGACAAUGGGGGAAACCCUGAUCUAGCCAUGCCGCGUGAUCGAUGAAGGCCUUAGGGUCGUAAAGAUCUUUCAGGUGGGAAGAUAAUGACUGUACCACCAGAAGAAGCCCCGGCUAACUCCGUGCCAGCAGCCGCAGUAA
This 449-nucleotide ribosomal RNA is filed under the name uncultured bacterium. Its description in RNAcentral is "partial 16S ribosomal RNA". It matches the Rfam family "Bacterial small subunit ribosomal RNA", at positions 30 to 523 of the family's 1533-position model. The record is from RNAcentral.